CUGCAAUGAUGACAACUUAGGACACCUUUCGAUCAAAUAUGAAAAGAAUCAUGAGUUUGUUUCUGAAAAGC
Myxocyprinus asiaticus (Chinese sucker) is the source of this 71-nucleotide small nucleolar RNA. RefSeq annotates it as small nucleolar RNA SNORD58. The record is from RefSeq and is a predicted model, not a curated record. The transcript has a single exon. NCBI's taxonomy places the organism in Eukaryota, Metazoa, Chordata, Actinopteri, Cypriniformes, Catostomidae.